Non-coding RNA from Phrynosoma platyrhinos (Desert horned lizard), 70 nucleotides. NCBI's taxonomy places the organism in Eukaryota, Metazoa, Chordata, Lepidosauria, Squamata, Phrynosomatidae. The record is from the annotation of a GenBank genome assembly.
GCCAGCGUUGUGUAGUGGUUUGAGUGUUAGACUAAAAUUCUGGAGACCAGGGUUCGAAUCUCCGCUGGAC